GACGAACGCUGGCGGCGUGCUUAACACAUGCAAGUCGAACGGAAAGUCCCUGCUUUGGUGGGGUGCUCGACUUGCGAACGGGGGAGUAACCCGUGAGUAACCUGCCCUUGACUUUGGGGUGACUUCAGGCAACUGGGGCUAAUCGCGGCUAGGAGCUCCUGCUGCAUGGUGGGGGUUGGAAAGUUUCGGCGGUUGGGGAUGGACUCGCGGCUUAUCAGCUUGUUGGAGGGGUAGUGGCUUAGCAUGGCUUUGACCGGUAGCAUGGCUGAGCGGGUGACCGGCUACAUUGGGACUGAGAUACGGCACAGCCUCCUACGGUACGCAGCAGUGGGGAGUAUUGUACAAUGGGCUGAAGCCUGAUGCAGUACCGCCGCGUGGGGGAUGACGGCCAGCGGGUUGUAAUCCGCUUUCGCCUGUGACGAAGCGUGAGUGACGGUAACGGGUAAAGAAGCACCGGCUAACUACGUG
RNAcentral lists this ribosomal RNA (468 nucleotides) under uncultured bacterium. RNAcentral's name for it is "partial 16S ribosomal RNA". It matches the Rfam family "Bacterial small subunit ribosomal RNA", at positions 28 to 507 of the family's 1533-position model. The record is from RNAcentral.